GACGAAGGAUGCGAGCGUUAUCCGGAUUCAUUGGGUUUAAAGGGAGCGUAGGUGGCCUUAUAAGUCAGUGGUGAAAUCCCGCAGCUUAACUGUGGAAUUGCCAUUGAUACUGUAGGGCUUGAGUACAGAUGCCGUUGGCGGAAUAUGACAUGUAGUGGUGAAAUACAUAGAGAUGUCAUAGAACACCGAUUGCGAAGGCAGCUGACGAAACUGUAACUGACAAUGAGGCUCGAAAGUGUGGGGAUCAAACAGG
This 253-nucleotide ribosomal RNA is filed under the name uncultured bacterium. RNAcentral describes it as "partial 16S ribosomal RNA". It matches the Rfam family "Bacterial small subunit ribosomal RNA", at positions 524 to 776 of the family's 1533-position model. The record is from RNAcentral.